CACACUGUAAACGAUGAUAACUCGCUGCCGGCGAUACACAGUCGGUAGCCAAGCGAAAGCGAUAAGUUAUCCACCUGGGGAGUACGACCGCAAGGUUGAAACUCAAAGGAAUUGACGGGGGCCCGCACAAGCGGAGGAACAUGUGGUUUAAUUCGAUGAUACGCGAGGAACCUUACCCGGGCUCGAACGGUGCAUGAAUAAGCAAGAGAUUGUUUAGUCCUUCGGGACAUGUAUCGAGGUGC
RNAcentral lists this ribosomal RNA (242 nucleotides) under uncultured Bacteroidota bacterium. RNAcentral describes it as "uncultured Bacteroidetes bacterium partial 16S ribosomal RNA". It matches the Rfam family "Bacterial small subunit ribosomal RNA", at positions 796 to 1041 of the family's 1533-position model. Lineage: Bacteria; Pseudomonadati; Bacteroidota. The record is from RNAcentral.